GCCUGGAUGGCUUAGUCAGUUAAGCGUCUGACUUCAGUUCAGGUCAUGAUCUCAGGGUUUGUGAGUUCUAGCCCCACAUCAGGCU
RNAcentral lists this transfer RNA (85 nucleotides) under Felis catus (domestic cat). It matches the Rfam family "tRNA". Rfam says of the family: Transfer RNA (tRNA) molecules are approximately 80 nucleotides in length. Their secondary structure includes four short double-helical elements and three loops (D, anti-codon, and T loops). Further hydrogen bonds mediate the characteristic L-shaped molecular structure. tRNAs have two regions of fundamental functional importance: the anti-codon, which is responsible for specific mRNA codon recognition, and the 3' end, to which the tRNAs corresponding amino acid is attached (by aminoacyl-tRNA synthetases). tRNAs cope with the degeneracy of the genetic code in two manners: having more than one tRNA (with a specific anti-codon) for a particular amino acid; and 'wobble' base-pairing, i.e. permitting non-standard base-pairing at the 3rd anti-codon position. Lineage: Eukaryota; Metazoa; Chordata; Mammalia; Carnivora; Felidae. The record is from Rfam by way of RNAcentral. RNAcentral also lists the same sequence under 1 other name.